This 71-nucleotide transfer RNA is filed under the name Actinomadura citrea. RNAcentral describes it as "tRNA-Ile". RNAcentral also lists the same sequence under 1 other name. The record is from RNAcentral. Lineage: Bacteria; Bacillati; Actinomycetota; Actinomycetes; Streptosporangiales; Thermomonosporaceae.
CCGCCGGCGAGGCUCGUUCCGCCGAUGAUGACGGCGGCGAUGGCCUCCAGUUCCAGGCCGGUGCCGGCGGU